CAAUCAUGUUCAGUCGGGUAGAGAGCUCAAUAUCAGUCUACUAGUAAAGCUAUCGACUAUUUACCUAGGUGAAUAUACUUAGCACACUCGCCAGUUUAUCAUCGACGCUUAGACAGUGGCAUGCAACAUGGACGUCCCUCUCUGGAAUGUAUUUAUCGAAAGAAAAGAAUUUCUCUAACAUUCCAUCAUAGAUCUUGACUAUACAUGGUUUGCUCUGGAACACAAAUGUAGAUAUGUCCUCCUUCACAGACUGAGCCAAGGCAU
Molecule: long non-coding RNA, 264 nt
Organism: Liolophura sinensis
Lineage: Eukaryota; Metazoa; Mollusca; Polyplacophora; Chitonida; Chitonidae
Exons: 3
Source: RefSeq, a predicted model, not a curated record